CCUGAAGUGGGGGAUAACCAUUGGAAACGAUGGCUAAUACCGCAUAAUGCCUACGGGCCAAAGAGGGGGACCUUCGGGCCUCUCGCGUCAGGAUAUGCCUAGGUGGGAUUAGCUAGUUGGUGAGGUAAUGGCUCACCAAGGCGACGAUCCCUAGCUGGUCUGAGAGGAUGAUCAGCCACACUGGAACUGAGACACGGUCCAGACUCCUACGGGAGGCAGCAGUGGGGAAUAUUGCACAAUGGGCGCAAGCCUGAUGCAGCCAUGCCGCGUGUGUGAAGAAGGCCUUCGGGUUGUAAAGCACUUUCAGUCGUGAGGAAGGGUGGUAGUGUUAAUAGCACUAUCAUUUGACGUUAGCGACAGAAGAAGCACCGGCUAACUCCGUGCCAGCAGCCGCGGUAAUACGGAGGGUGCGAGCGUUAAUCGGAAUUACUGGGCGUAAAGCGCAUGCAGGUGGUUUGUUAAGUCAGAUGUGAAAGCCCGGGGCUCAACCUCGGAAUUGCAUUUGAAACUGGCAGACUAGAGUACUGUAGAGGGGGGUAGAAUUUCAGGUGUAGCGGUGAAAUGCGUAGAGAUCUGAAGGAAUACCGGUGGCGAAGGCGGCCCCCUGGACAGAUACUGACACUCAGAUGCGAAAGCGUGGGGAGCAAACAGGAUUAGAUACCCUGGCAGUCCACGCCGUAAACGAUGUCUACUUGGAGGUUGUGACCUUGAGUCGUGGCUUUCGGAGCUAACGCGUUAAGUAGACCGCCUGGGGAGUACGGUCGCAAGAUUAAAACUCAAAUGAAUUGACGGGGGCCCGCACAAGCGGUGGAGCAUGUGGUUUAAUUCGAUGCAACGCGAAGAACCUUACCUACUCUUGACAUCCAGAGAACUUUCCAGAGAUGGAUUGGUGCCUUCGGGAACUCUGAGACAGGUGCUGCAUGGCUGUCGUCAGCUCGUGUUGUGAAAUGUUGGGUUAAGUCCCGCAACAAGCGCAACCCUUAUCCUUGUUUGCCAGCGAGUAAUGUCGGGAACUCCAGGGAGACUGCCGGUGAUAAACCGGAGGAAGGUGGGGACGACGU
RNAcentral lists this ribosomal RNA (1061 nucleotides) under Vibrio harveyi. Its description in RNAcentral is "bacterial SSU rRNA". It matches the Rfam family "Bacterial small subunit ribosomal RNA", at positions 130 to 1185 of the family's 1533-position model. Lineage: Bacteria; Pseudomonadati; Pseudomonadota; Gammaproteobacteria; Vibrionales; Vibrionaceae. The record is from RNAcentral.